UUCGCUCCGAUGCUCUAGAUUACGCGAAGAACUUACCUACACUUGACAUCCUCGGAACUUUCUAGAGAUAGAUUGGUGCCUUCGGGAACCGAGUGACAGGUGCUGCAUGGCUGUCGUCAGCUCGUGUCGUGAGAUGUUGGGUUAAGUCCCGUAACGAGCGCAACCCUUAUCCUUAUUUGCCAGCGGUUCGGCCGGGAACUCUAAGGAGACUGCCGAUGACAAAUCGGAGGAAGGUGGGGACGACGUCAAGUCAUCAUGGCCCUUACGUGUAGGGCUACACACGUGCUACAAUGGUCGGUACAAACGGUCGCGAACCCGCGAGGGGAAGCCAAUCCGAGAAAGCCGAUCGUAGUCCGGAUUGGGGUCUGCAACUCGACCCCAUGAAGUCGGAAUCGCUAGUAAUCGUGAAUCAGAAUGUCACGGUGAAUACGUUCCCGGGUCUUGUA
This 446-nucleotide ribosomal RNA is filed under the name uncultured bacterium. RNAcentral's name for it is "bacterial SSU rRNA". It matches the Rfam family "Bacterial small subunit ribosomal RNA", at positions 945 to 1385 of the family's 1533-position model. The record is from RNAcentral.